CUUUAAUACUUUACCUUCUUGUCCAAACCUCAGGCAAUUCCCCAUGCUCAAUGGCUGCAUUUUCAGCUGGCAGACCAAAUGCAUCCCAGCCCAUUGGAUGGACAACCUUUGGAUUUCAAAUAAAAAGCGAUGAAAGCGGGCUAUGACAUCACUGAUGCUGUACACCCUGACGUGUCCCAUGUGAAGCUUGCCACUGGGGUAGGGAAACAUGGAUAACACAUAGAACUUUUCCUGAGAAGCCUGGAAAAAAAAUCAACAAAAACUUUCACAAGAGCCAUGAAACAUGAUGUAUGAUUACAAAAUUUAAAAUCUCCUCACACAUUGAUAACUACAGAGAAGUAGGUAUGGUUCCUGGUGUAUUUCAGCCUAACAUUAAUGUAAUGAUAGAGAUGUCAAAGAGUGGUUACUUGAUGAAGAUACACAGUACAAAGAGUUGAAAUCCAUGCAUUUUCCUACAAAAUACCCAUUUACCAUUUUAUUAUGAUGUCAUAAAUAUAUUAUUGGAACAAAAUUGACAGAAAACAAGUCUUUUAAUGGUAGUUUUUUGAUAAGAAUAUAUAAAGUACAGGGCCUGCUGAAAGGUGAUUAAAUCUCACAGUGGUUAUUAAAUCCUUAUCAUUUAAUCCAGUGGUUAAAUUCUGCUGUGUAAAAGCAUUUCAACAAAAUGGUUAGUUAACCUUGUGUUAACUGAGUUAAUUGCUUGCUAAUAACACCACACUUUUUACCUUUGAAGAGGAUGAAAAAUUAAGUGGACAACCAUUUUUAACUACUGUGUUAAGACUUAAUACAGGAACUGAAAGUGGAUUAAGGUUAACACAACUUUAACAGAGAGUUAACACAAACUUGUUUUUGAAAAACAGUUAAGCAUGUGGUUAAUUUCACACACAAGAUAAAACCAAGAUAACAUGCUAAAGUUUAAUAUAUCUUGAAAAACUGGGCCCAGGUGUACAGCAAAAAGACAGCAAAACGAUAUUUACAUAGUUUAAACUUGAUAACUUAAUCUAUAACAUAUAUCAUUUUGGUGUUGCUCAAUGUCUCCCUUCAUCCUUUUCUAAAACAAACACGCUGAGAUUUUUAAUUUUCUUGCAAUUUUUAAAAAAGUAAUUAUUUCAAAUCUGGAUGAAUAAUGAUGUCAUUAACAUACAAAUACAUGCAUGAUAGUGUGAUAUUAAUUGAUGAAGUCUUGUACUCUCAUGUAUACCAGUCAAGCCAUUCUGAAUUUUACUCCCUCUCUAGGACCAUAUAUGGCUUAUUCUUUUUAUCCCAAUCUUGGACCAGAUAUGGGCACAAUCAUACGUUAACUGUUCUUUUAUCAACAAUAUACAAUGAUUGUUUUUUUCCACAAUUCUAUGGAGCUUACUAAUCAAUAUAUGAAGAAAAAAAUAUGCAUUACCAACAACGUUUUCAUUGAGGUAAAAACUCAACAUGUAUGUAUAUAUUACAGGUUACCUGGAGUUUGUAUAUUACAGGUUACCUGGAGUUUGUAUACUACAGGUUACCUGAGGUUUGUAUGUUACAGGUUACCUGAGGUUUGUAUAUAUUAUUACAGGUUACCUGAGGUUUGUAUAUUACAGGUUAUCUGAGGUUUGUAUAUUACAGGUUACCUGAGGUUUGUAUAUUACAGGUUACCUGGAGUUUGUAUAUUACAGGUUACCUGAGGUUUGUAUAUUACAGAUUACCUGAGGUUUGUAUAUUACAGGUUACCUGAGGUUUGUAUAUUACAGAUUACCUGAGGUUUGUAUAUUACAGGUUACCUGAGGUUUGUAUAUAACAGGUUACAUGAGGUUUGUAUAUAUUAUUACAGGUUACCUGAGGUUUUUAUAUAUUAUUACAGGUUACAUGAGUUUUGUAUAUUACAGGUUACCUGAUGUUUUUAUAUUACAGAUUACCUGAGGUUUGUAUAUUACAGGUUACCUGAAGUUUGUAUAUUACAGAUUACCUGAGGUUUGUAUAUUACAGGUUACCUGAGGUUUGUAUAUAACAGGUUACAUGAGGUUUGUAUAUAUUAUUACAGGUUACCUGAGGUUUUUAUAUAUUAUUACAGAUUACCUGAGUUUUGUAUAUUACAGGUUACCUGAUGUUUUUAUAUUACAGAUUACCUGAGGUUUGUGUAUUACAGGUUACCUGAAGUUUGUAUAUUACAGAUUACCUGAGGUUUGUAUAUUACAGAUUACCUGAGGUUUGUAUAUUACAGGUUACCGGAGGUUUGUAUAUUACAGGUUACCUGAGAUUUGUAUGUUACAGGUUACAUGAGGUUUGUAUAUUACAGGUUACCUGAGGUUUGUAUAUUACCGGUUACCUGAGGUUUGUAUAUUACAGGUUACCUGAGGUUUGUAUAUAACAGAUUACACGAGGUUUGUAUAUAUUAUUACAGGUUACCUGAGGUUUGUAUAUUACAGGUUACCUGAGGUUUGUGUAUUACAGGUUACCUGAGGUGUGUAUAUUAUAGAUUACCUGAGGUUUGUAUAUUACAGAUUACCUGAGGUUUGUAUAUUACAGGUUACCUGAGGUUUGCAUAUUACAGGUUACCUGAGGUUUGUAUGUUACAGGUUACCUGAGGUUUGUAUGUUACAGGUUACCUGAGGUGUGUAUAUUACAGGUUACCUGAGGUUUGUAUAUUACAGGUUACCUGAGAUUUGUAUGUUACAGGUUACAUGAGGUUUGUAUAUUACAGAUUACACGAGGUUUGUAUAUAUUAUUACAGGUUACCUGAGGUUUGUAUAUUACAGAUUACCUGAGGUUUGUGUAUUACAGAUUACCCAAGGUUUGUAUAUUACAGGUUACCUGAGGUUUGUAUAUUACAGGUUACCUGAGGUUUGUAUAUUACAGGUUACCUGAGGUUUGUAUGUUACAGGUUACCUGAGGUUUGUAUAUUACAGGUUACCUAAGGUUUGUAUAUUACAGGCUACCGGAGGUUUGUGUAUUACAGGUUACCUGAGGUUUGUAUAUAACAGGUUACAUGAGGUUUGUAUAUAUUAUUACAGGUUACCUGAGGUUUGUAUAUUACAGGUUACUUGAGGUUUGUAUGUUACAGGUUACCUGAGGUUUGUAUAUUACAGGUUACCGGAGGUUUGUAUAUUACAGGUUACCUGAGGUUUGUAUAUUACAGGUUACCUGAGGUUUGUAUAUUACAGGUUACUUGAGGUUUGUAUGUUACAGGUUACCUGAGGUUUGUAUAUUACAGGUUACCGGAGGUUUGUAUAUUACAGGUUACCUGAAGUUUGUAUAUUACAGGUUACCUGAGGUUUGUUGAGGCAUCUUUCACUGUUCCUUGUCUGCAGCAGUGGUAUCCAAUGUUUUUCAACUUCAGAUCUCACCUCUGGUGAAAAUUCUUUGGCAUCCUACAAAACACCAGUCAUAUCACAGCAGGGUUUUAUUUUUCAAAAUCAAAACAAUUCAUAAUUUUCUUAUAUCAUUACAAAAAACAUUCAGAUUUGAAGUAUGAAUAAGAACAUAGAUUGAAUGUGUCUUUUGAUUAUCAAUUCAAGACAAAUCCUAUGGAAAAAAAUGUGUGUAAAUGUAUGUACUGGUAGCUGGGUUUUAACUAUUUGUAAAUAUGGUUUGGGGGUGGAUUUUUACAUAAUGUUUAUAAUAUUUGCACAUACAUACAUAUAUGAUGAUCCCAUGUGCAUGUACAUAAGUGUAUUGCUUGUUCAUUGCUACUUUUGAUAUCAUUGGCAUGUGUAUGUAAGCGAUUAUCUAUAUUGCAUACCUUGUGUAGUAACCGUAUUUAUGGUAUUCGGUAAAGCUACAGUCUAAGACAGAUGUAUUGAUGUAAAUUAUAUUGAUAACUUAAAGUGAAAUUAAGUAUUACGAUUGUAAAUCAUGCAACUUACUUCUACUAUCACAUGUUGAAAGUUAGCCACCUACCAUCUUGCUUAUGAAGGAAUGCAUCACAUGAUAUUUUGUCUAUAGAUACACCACCUUGUAGUGAACAUUGAACAAGUAGCAUUGUCCGAUUGUUUAGAUAUUUGAAAUUUGUAUUUCUACUUCAUUUGUUUUAUAUGAUGUAGUUCAUUUGCAACAUAAGUGAUCAGACUACCUUGAUCUUGUGAUGGCGGAAUGCACAAUUUAUGUAUUGUUGUUCUGUAUUCCUACAUAUAGGAUUGUGGUUGUCCGUUUUAUUAUAAAGAAUUAUUUUGACUUAUGUUUCUAUGCAAUUAUAUCAACUUUGAUUAUAAUUCAUAGUAUGGGAAUAAAACACUUUGACAUUAUGUGCUUUUCUAUACCUAAAGUUUUGUACUUAAAGUGCGGAGAUGCUCUAGAAAGGACAAUUAUUCAUUGGUUGUUUCGCAGUCACAUGACCAUUUUUAGAAAGUAUAUAAAGCAGGAAGUUUGCCAGUUUCAUCAUCCUAAUCUGUAUCAAUUACAUUGUUCAUUUCAUUCGAACCCUCCCCCUGAAUUCUCUAGUCAGGUGCUCAACCAACUGAGCUAUCUGGCCAUCGGCGAUCAAACCCGGCUGACCGCUACAUUCCUCCCUCCUUAUAUGUCUUCGCCCUCAAAGACACAACCCAGAUUCUGCCCUUGACAGUACUUUCACCUGCAAGUCCAGGGGUGGUCAACGGCAUCAAAUGAAACAGGAAGGGAAAAAUGCAACGGACCAGACCGGGAUUCAAACCCGGGCCCCCUGAAUCCCUAGUCAGGUGCUCUACAAACUGAGCUAUCUGGCCAUCAGCAAUUGAACCCGGCUGACCGCUACAUUAUCAUACAAACAGCAAUUAACAUUAGCUAUAUACAGUAUAAUUUGUCCAAACCGGCCUCUGAUACAUAGUCCCUAACAUUUCUUUAACAAAUCCUUUAUUAAUAAUUCCGUGUACUCCGGAUACUGCGUAUUCUGUAUAUCGGCCGACUUACAGUCCCAACUGCUAUUAAUUAACUUUAAUUAUCCUGUGUAAACCGACCCCUUGAUGAUACACCACCCUAAUUGUUACGGUCAAUUGUAUUCGGUGUACACGAGGUCCCAACUGCUCGUAAUUAGCUCUAAUUAUCGCAUUUAAACCAGCCACCCCAUGAUGACCAACCUGUCGGUAUUCGGUCGAUCACAUGCGGUGUACACAAAGGGUGUCUCAAGGGGAGCCUCAGGUAAGUAAAAGAGUGCAACUGGCGAUGAGUCGCGAUCAGUUUAAAAUAAAACCUGAUUUUUGGGGGGUGCACUUUUCAAUUAUGACAGCACCACGCACGAGGUAAUGGCGUCCUCCCCUUAACGACAGAGACAAGAACUGACAUUAAAAGACAAAGUUCAAUUAAUCGAUGAAUUGAUACAUUCUUGGAAUGAAACAAAAUCGGCAACAAUCCCGUUAUGUUUUCCAAAAGCAGGGUUCCCCUCGUGGACUUCUCGGAGCUCUCCGGCGAGUCAGACAGUGAUGAUAUGCACUUAGUAAACACAACUCGCCAUGUCCGGUCGAUCACUCGGCAUUACAUCAGUUUCCGUUUCACAAAUUGAGACAGUUGAAAGCGAUACAUUUACAACGAAAGCUGGGAAAGACCAAUUUUAGAUGAACACAACACAAACUUGACGAACGUACAGAAUGUAGCACUUGAUAACGGCGAUGAUGUAGACGAAAUCGACAAUUUACCAACAAAAAAGUGCGCGAAUAAUUCCCAGAUUUUAAACUGUUUAAUAAAAAUUGAUUUUUUUUUCAAAUGAGCACGACAAUAAAACACUGACAUUUAUAUUUUUACAUUUUGAAUUCUUUUGUGAUAUAAUAAAACGUUAGCAAUCAUUACACACGUAUGCAUAGAUAGUGAAUACAAGGGAAGUAACUCUCACUCUUGUCAACAUUCUGCACUCCGGACUCUGUGUAAACCGGCCAAUUUCUUUGGAACCACACAUAGCCGGUUUAGACAGAUUAUACUGUACUACCUAUUUACCAACUUGUACAGAUGUUGGUGCUAGGGGGUCACUUUGUGGGAGGAAACCAGAUUACCUGUACAAAACCCACGUGUCCAAGCGGGCGACCACCAUACCCUCUCACAUACAGCCACUGCCGAUCACAGGGAUCAAACUCGGGUCGCAGUGGUGAGAAGCAGUUGCGUUAGCCUCUACGCUACCCUAACACCCGGUUGAAUUAUGGUUCAAAAUAAAUAAUUCCUCUUUACAUGUACAUAACUUCAUGCUUAUAUAUUAAAAGGGAAGGCAACCCAAAAAAUGUUUACAUGAUGAAUGAUAGGAUUAAUUGUAUGAUAAAUAUAUGUCAUAUUAUUCUGUUGAUAUACGGCCUAGAUAAGCUUCAGU
Molecule: long non-coding RNA, 6235 nt
Organism: Ostrea edulis (European flat oyster)
Lineage: Eukaryota; Metazoa; Mollusca; Bivalvia; Ostreida; Ostreidae
Exons: 2
Source: RefSeq, a predicted model, not a curated record